This 394-nucleotide ribosomal RNA is filed under the name uncultured bacterium. RNAcentral's name for it is "partial 16S ribosomal RNA". It matches the Rfam family "Bacterial small subunit ribosomal RNA", at positions 523 to 918 of the family's 1533-position model. The record is from RNAcentral.
AUACGUAGGGGGCGAGCGUUAUCCGGAAUUACUGGGCGUAAAGAGUGCGUAGGCGGCUGAUUAAGCGCGGAGUUUAACGUCACGGCUUAACCGUAAUUUGCUCUGCGAACUGGUCAGCUUGAGUACGGGAGAGGAAGGCGGAAUUCCUAGUGUAGCGGUUAAAUGCGCAGAUAUUAGGAGGAACACCGGUGGCGAAGGCGGCCUUCUGGACCGAAACUGACGCUGAGGCACGAAAGCGUGGGUAGCAAACAGGAUUAGAUACCCUGGUAGUCCACGCCGUAAACGAUGAGCACUAGGUGUCGGGCUCGAGAGAGUUCGGUGCCGCAGCUAACGCAAUAAGUGCUCCGCCUGGGGAGUACGCACGCAAGUGUAAAACUCAAAUGAAUUGGCGGGG